RNAcentral lists this unclassified non-coding RNA (2323 nucleotides) under Octopus sinensis (East Asian common octopus). Its description in RNAcentral is "glycosyltransferase-like domain-containing protein 1- like, transcript variant X2". The record is from RNAcentral. Lineage: Eukaryota; Metazoa; Mollusca; Cephalopoda; Octopoda; Octopodidae.
UUUGUUUUUGUUUUUAUGACAUCGAUAAUCUUUCUCCUUUCAUUGAUUAGAAAUUCGAAAAUAUCAGAGUUAAUUAGUCAUAGCUCAGCUUCACAAAUAUUCCCAAAUAUUAAUUAAAAAGUUCCACAAGUGCCUUGUCUUAAUUGGCGUCUGGUAACCCGGAUGUAACUCUUUCCCGCCGGAAGUUAAUUAUAUCAUGUUUUGAUUUUCAGUUUCCCCCAUGUGAGUGUUGGAGCUUGUAAUUUCAAAAUGUUUUAAUACACCGGAUAGUUUUUGCUGUUGAAUACAGCGGAUCAUAUGCUGACACACUGUUCCUAUUUAUUACACAAUGACUAUAAUUUUGUUGGAGGCCUUUUACGGCGGUUCUCAUAAACAAUUGAUUGAUUAUUUAGCCACAAACAUACCUAAAUGUUGCGUUUUCAAGUUACCGGCAAAAAAAUGGCAUUGGAAAGCCAGAACAUCUGCUUUACAUUUUAGUGAAGUUAUACCAGAGAAUGAAAACAUCUACAGUUCCUUAUUUACAAGUUCCGUAUUGAACCUUGCUGAAUUGGUAGCACUGCGUCCUGAUUUGGCUCGACUUCAUAAAGUUAUCUAUUUUCAUGAAAAUCAACUAAUUUAUCCUGUCAGGAAAGAACAGACCAGGGAUUUUCAAUAUGGAUACAAUCAGAUUUUAUCAUGUGUUGUGGCUGAUGUUGUAGUGUUCAACUCUGAAUUCAAUAAGAACACAUUUCUACAGAACAUCAACAGAUUUCUCAACAUCAUUCCUGAUUAUCAUCCAAAGAAUCUCAUGAAAAAAAUCGCGCCAAAGUGCCGAGUCUUAUAUUUCCCAUUAUCCUUUCCUGACUGUCCAACAGAAAGCUUGCUAGAAAACAAAUACUCACAUUUAACCCACGGCUGCAUGAUGGAUAAAUGCUUAGAGAAAGUUUUGAAGGAAACUGAAGAAUGUGGUUCAUCCUCAAAACUUACAGAACAAAUAUCUGAGACAAGCAAUGAAGUCUUGACCAAUGGAAGACAAGAUAAAGUUUUGGCUAAUGGAACUCAUUCUGCAGUUGAUUUCCAAAAUACUGUAGAUUGCAUCAGUGAUAAAACUUUGGAACCAGAGAUAUUGCCAUCUGUUCAAGAGAAUGGAAGAAAACUUCAUAUUGUUUGGCCUCAUCGUUGGGAACAUGAUAAAGACCCCGAAAGAUUCUUUAAUAUUUUAAAUUGGCUCCAUGAAGAAAAUUUUGAUUUCUGGGUUUCUGUUAUUGGCCAAAGCUUUUCUGAAGUUCCAGAUGUUUUUAUACAAUCAAAGGAAAAACUAAAAGUUCAUCUCAAAACUUGGGGAUAUGUUGACGACAAGAAAGAUUAUUAUGAAAUUCUAAAAACAGCAGAUGUCGUUGUUUCCACUGCAAAACAUGAAUUCUUUGGAGUAUCAAUGCUUGAAGCUGUUUAUUAUGGUUGUUACCCUCUCUGUCCAAAUAAAUUAGUCUAUCCAGAAAUAUUUCCACAAUGCUACCUUUAUAACACAGAACAUCAGUUGUUUAAAAAGUUGAAGAGAUUUUGUAAAUUCCCUCAUUUGACUAAAAAAUUACCAGAAAAGAUUGAUUUGCAACGCUUUAUGUGGAAACAACUCAAAGAAUCAUAUGAGGAGGUUCUAAAAGGAACUGUGUCUCCAGAUCAGACAAAGACAAACUGAGAAUGUUAAGGGCAAAGAUUUUUCAGUCGAGGACAUACUUGAUACUGACCUUACGACACUACAUGAUGAAAUUUUCAUUGCUGUCCCUGUGACCCUAAAACUGAAGGACACCAACUUCAUGCACAGCAGAUUUCAAUCUUCUAGAUUUGAAAGAUUCACAUUAACGAUUGCUCCUCCUUUUUUUUAAACUUAUUUUUCCAAUUCAGAGUCUGUAACUUGUAUGGAAGAGUAUUUUUCCAAGAAAGUCAUUUAUAACAGUAUUGUAAAAAAAUUUAUUUAUGUUAUGACUUUUGUAAAAAAAAAUUUUAUUUAAAAAAGUUUUGUUUUCUUUUUUAUGGAAAUGGUUUGUAUUGUGUGCUGGAGAAUACGGACAACUGAAAACUCAUUCAUACAUACAUAUAUGUGUAUACACAUGCACAUUGAUACACACACAAGUGCACAAACAAACAAACAAACAAAAAGAAUGCAGAUCUGAUAACGGACAGUCAAAAACUAUGGAAGAGGUUGCAAGAAAGAAAAAAUUAAAUAAAUAAGUAAAUGAGUGGAAAUUGAACCAGUGUGUUAAUUAAUAAGACAAUUAAAACAAUGACAAUAAAAUAUGCUUCAACAUGCAAAUUCACAUAAAGAAUCUGGCAAACCAAAUACAAA